CACGCCGUAAACGAUGAGCGCUAGGUGUUGGGGGUAUUGACCCCCCCAGUACCGCAGCUAACGCGUUAAGCGCUCCGCCUGGGGAGUACGGCCGCAAGGCUAAAACUCAAAGGAAUUGACGGGGGCCCGCACAAGCGGUGGAGUAUGUGGUUUAAUUCGACGCAACGCGCAAAACCUUACCUAGGUUAAAUCCACAAGAACCCGCCAGAAAAGGUGGGGUGCCUUCGGGAGCUUGUGAGAAGGUGC
This 246-nucleotide ribosomal RNA is filed under the name uncultured bacterium. RNAcentral describes it as "partial 16S ribosomal RNA". It matches the Rfam family "Bacterial small subunit ribosomal RNA", at positions 796 to 1041 of the family's 1533-position model. The record is from RNAcentral.